RNAcentral lists this ribosomal RNA (729 nucleotides) under uncultured bacterium. RNAcentral describes it as "bacterial SSU rRNA". It matches the Rfam family "Bacterial small subunit ribosomal RNA", at positions 771 to 1501 of the family's 1533-position model. The record is from RNAcentral.
AACAGGAUUAGAUACCCUGGUAGUCCACGCCCUAAACGAUGUCUACUAGUUGUCGGGUUUUAAUUAACUUGGUAACGCAGCUAACGCGUGAAGUAGACCGCCUGGGGAGUACGGUCGCAAGAUUAAAACUCAAAGGAAUUGACGGGGACCCGCACAAGCGGUGGAUGAUGUGGAUUAAUUCGAUGCAACGCGAAAAACCUUACCUACCCUUGACAUGUACGGAAGUCACGAGAGAUCGAGAUGUGCUCGAAAGAGAACCGUAACACAGGUGCUGCAUGGCUGUCGUCAGCUCGUGUCGUGAGAUGUUGGGUUAAGUCCCGCAACGAGCGCAACCCUUGUCAUUAGUUGCUACAUUUAGUUGAGCACUCUAAUGAGACUGCCGGUGACAAACCGGAGGAAGGUGGGGAUGACGUCAAGUCCUCAUGGCCCUUAUGGGUAGGGCUUCACACGUCAUACAAUGGUACAUACAGAGGGCCGCCAACCCGCGAGGGGGAGCUAAUCCCAGAAAGUGUAUCGUAGUCCGGAUCGCAGUCUGCAACUCGACUGCGUGAAGUUGGAAUCGCUAGUAAUCGCGGAUCAGCAUGUCGCGGUGAAUACGUUCCCGGGUCUUGUACACACCGCCCGUCACACCAUGGGAGCGGGUUUUACCAGAAGUAGGUAGCUUAACCGCAAGGGGGGCGCUUACCACGGUAGGAUUCGUGACUGGGGUGAAGUCGUAACAAGGUAACC